Molecule: long non-coding RNA, 218 nt
Filed under: Physcomitrium patens
Lineage: Eukaryota; Viridiplantae; Streptophyta; Bryopsida; Funariales; Funariaceae
Description: long non-coding RNA (PPAT_LNC008310)
Source: RNAcentral
CACUAAGUAAUUUCUAUAUCUAGCGCAAAAACUUUUGUAUCAUACCAAACACUCUUGACCUACUACUCUUUAAUAACUAAGAUGUGAGGCAUGAGAAGCAUAAUAUCUUUGGAUUAUAAGACAUUAUUCUAUCUUUCAAAGACAAGCAAGUAUAUUUUUAUAUAACAACUUUGCAAUGCACUAAGGAAGGCUUCUUAGAGUUGUGCUUAACACUAGUU